This 226-nucleotide long non-coding RNA is filed under the name Medicago truncatula (barrel medic). RNAcentral describes it as "lncRNA gene42515". The record is from RNAcentral. Lineage: Eukaryota; Viridiplantae; Streptophyta; Magnoliopsida; Fabales; Fabaceae.
GGGGUGUUCAUGGGUGUGGGUCGAUCCACGAAUUUGACGAUCAAAGUUGAACACGAUCGAAUAUGAUAUAACCCGCAUAAGUUUGGUUCGAACAUUAGGUAUGGGUUUUUGAACUUAUGAAUACUUUGACCAUUUGAACAUGUUUUCCGUGAAGCUGAUUAAGCGGCACAUUUUUGCCAACGACGAUUUUCUUUUGAUGUCCUCGUCAAAUUUUGACCGUUUCUUU